Molecule: long non-coding RNA, 517 nt
Filed under: Drosophila guanche
Lineage: Eukaryota; Metazoa; Arthropoda; Insecta; Diptera; Drosophilidae
Source: RNAcentral
AAACCUGAGGACAAACCCAAGUCUCCUCUUGACUUAGUUAAGCCAAGUCCAAUAGUGUAUUCAGACGAGGAAAGUGAUGAGGAAUAUGGUGUUCCCAGACCCCAAGAAAAGCCCGCUAGCCAGCCAAUUCCUUCGGCAGUUCCUUCUGUAGUGGUUGCAGAUAAAUCUCCGCUUAAACCUGAAGAUACACCUAAACCAUUUGACUUGAAAGACGACAAGGUCCCAGCUAAACCUGAGGGCAAUCCCAAGUCUCCUCUUGACUUAGUUAAGCCAAGUCCAAUAGUGUUUUCAGACGAGGAAAGUGAUGAGGAAUAUGGGGUUCCCAGACCCCAAGAAAAGCCCGCUAGCCAGCCAAUUCCUUCGGCAGUUCCUUCUGUAGUGGCUGCAGAUAAAUCUCCGCUUAAACCAGUAGAUAAACCUAAACCAUUUGACUUGAAAGACGACAAGGUCCCAGCUAAACCUGAGGGCAAACCCAAGUCUCCUCUUGACUUAGUUAAGCCAAGUCCAAUAGUGUAUU